Molecule: ribosomal RNA, 1469 nt
Filed under: Ligilactobacillus salivarius
Lineage: Bacteria; Bacillati; Bacillota; Bacilli; Lactobacillales; Lactobacillaceae
Description: bacterial SSU rRNA
Rfam family: Bacterial small subunit ribosomal RNA
Source: RNAcentral
GGAAGGCGGGCGCUAUACAUGCAGUCGACGAACUUUCUUACACCGAAUGCUUGCAUUCACCGUAAGAAGUUGAGUGGCGGACGGGUGAGUAACACGUGGGUAACCUGCCUAAAAGAAGGGGAUAACACUUGGAAACAGGUGCUAAUACCGUAUAUCUCUAAGGAUCGCAUGAUCCUUAGAUGAAAGAUGGUUCUGCUAUCGCUUUUAGAUGGACCCGCGGCGUAUUAACUAGUUGGUGGGGUAACGGCCUACCAAGGUGAUGAUACGUACCCGAACUGAGAGGUUGAUCGGCCACAUUGGGACUGAGACACGGCCCAAACUCCUACGGGAGGCAGCAGUAGGGAAUCUUCCACAAUGGACGCAAGUCUGAUGGAGCAACGCCGCGUGAGUGAAAAAGGUCUUCGGAUCGUAAAACUCUGUUGUUAGAGAAGAACACGAGUGAGAGUAACUGUUCAUUCAAUGACGGUAUCUAACCCUCAAGUCACGGCUAACUACGUGCCAGCGGCCGCGGUAAUACGUAUGUGGCAAGCGUUGUCCGGAUUUAUUGGGCGUGAAGGGAACGCAGGCGGUCUUUUAAAUCUGAUGUGAAAGCCUUCGGCUUAACCGGAGUAGUGCAUUGUGAACUGGAAGACUUGAUUGCAGAAGAAGAGAGUGGAACUCCAUGUGUAGCGGUGAAAUGCGUAGAUAUAUGGAAGAACACCAGUGGCGAAAGCGGCUCUCUGGUCUGUAACUGACGCUGAGGUUCGAAAGCGUGGGUAGCAAACAGGAUUAGAUACCCUGGUAUCCACGCCGUAAACGAUGAAUGCUAGGUGUUGGAGGGUUUCCGCCUUUCAGUGCCGCAGCUAACGCAAUAAGCAUUCCGCCUGGGGAGUACGACCGCAAGGUUGAAACUCAAAGGAAUUGACGGGGGCCCGCACAAGCGGUGGAGCAUGUGGUUUAAUUCGAAGCAACGCGAAGAACCUUACCAGGUCUUGACAUCCUUUGACCACCUAAGAGAUUAGGUUUUCCCUUCGGGGACAAAGUGACAGGUGGUGCAUGGCUGUCGUCAGCUCGUGUCGUGAGAUGUUGGGUUAAGUCCCGCAACGAGCGCAACCCUUGUUGUCAGUUGCCAGCAUUAAGUUGGGCACUCUGGCGAGACUGCCGGUGACAAACCGGAGGAAGGUGGGGACGACGUCAAGUCAUCAUGCCCCUUAUGACCUGGGCUACACACGUGCUACAAUGGACGGUACAACGAGUCGCAAGACCGCGAGGUUUAGCUAAUCUCUUAAAGCCGUUCUCAGUUCGGAUUGUAGGCUGCAACUCGCCUACAUGAAGUCGGAAUCGCUAGUAAUCGCGAAUCAGCAUGUCGCGGUGAAUACGUUCCCGGGCCUUGUACACACCGCCCGUCACACCAUGAGAGUUUGUAACACCCAAAGCCGGUGGGGUAACCGCAAGGAGCCAGCCGUCUAAGGUGGAACAGAUGAUUGGGU